ACGGCUCAGUAACACGUAGUCAACCUACCCUUGGGACGGGGAAAAUCUCGGGAAACUGAGAAUAAUCCCCGAUAGGUGAGGGACGCUGGGAUGUCCCCUCGCCCAAAGCUCCGGCGCCCAAGGAUGGGACUGCGGCCUAUCAGGCUGUUGGUGGUGUGACGGACCACCAAACCUACGACGGGUACGGGCGAUGGGAGUCGGAGCCCGGAGAUGGGGACUGAGACAAGGCCCCAGGCCCUACGGGGCGCAGCAGGCGCGAAAACUCCGCAAUGCGCGCAAGCGUGACGGGGGGACCCCAAGUGCCGUUGGUCUUUUGAUCGGCGGCUUUUCGGGAGUCUAAGAAGCUCCCAGAAUAAGGGCUGGGUAAGGCUGGUGCCAGCCGCCGCGGUAACACCAGCAGCCCAAGUGGUGGUCGCGAUUAUUGGGCCUAAAGCGCUCGUAGCCGGGCUAGCAAGUCCCUUGUGAAAUCGGGCCGCCCAACGGUUCGGCGUGCAAGGGAUACUGUUGGUCUUGAGGCCGGGAGAGGUCGGAGGUACUCCUGGGGUAGCGGUGAAAUGCUCUAAUCCUGGGGGGACCACCAGUGGCGAAGGCGUCCGACCAGAACGGACCUGACGGUGAGGGGGCGAAGGCUAGGGGAGCGAACGGGAUUAGAUACCCCGGUAGUCCUAGCUGUAAAGCAUGCGGGCCAGGUGUCUAGCGCUCCUCGAGGGCGCUAGGUGCCGGAGGGAAGCCGUUAAGCCCGCCGCCUGGGAAGUACGGCCGCAAGGCUGAAACUUAAAGAAAUUGGCGGGGGAGCACCACAAGGGGUGGAACCUGCGGUUC
This 822-nucleotide ribosomal RNA is filed under the name uncultured archaeon. RNAcentral describes it as "bacterial SSU rRNA". It matches the Rfam family "Archaeal small subunit ribosomal RNA", at positions 85 to 903 of the family's 1478-position model. The record is from RNAcentral.